RNAcentral lists this RNase P RNA (263 nucleotides) under Actinomycetota bacterium. RNAcentral's name for it is "partial RNase P RNA component class A". It matches the Rfam family "Bacterial RNase P class A", at positions 99 to 367 of the family's 367-position model. Rfam says of the family: Ribonuclease P (RNase P) is a ubiquitous endoribonuclease, found in archaea, bacteria and eukarya as well as chloroplasts and mitochondria. Its best characterised activity is the generation of mature 5'-ends of tRNAs by cleaving the 5'-leader elements of precursor-tRNAs. Lineage: Bacteria; Bacillati; Actinomycetota. The record is from RNAcentral.
CCGACGGAAAGUGGCACAGAAAACAGACCGCCGGCGGCAGAUCUCCGGGGCUGCGCGUCGGCAAGGGUGAAAAGGUGGGGUAAGAGCCCACCAGCGUCGUGGUGACACGGCGGCUCGCCAAACCCCGUCCGGUGCAAGGCGAAACAGGCUCCGGUGAGGUGGCCCGCUGAGGAGCCGGGUACGCCGCUAGAGCCGCCGGGAAACCGACGGCUGAGAGAGAUGAUCACCCUCGACAGAAUCCGGCUUACAGGCCUGCUAACGGA